Brassica napus (rape) is the source of this 2829-nucleotide RNA transcript. It is a transcript of the gene named U11/U12 small nuclear ribonucleoprotein 35 kDa protein-like, with no coding region annotated. NCBI's taxonomy places the organism in Eukaryota, Viridiplantae, Streptophyta, Magnoliopsida, Brassicales, Brassicaceae. The record is from RefSeq and is a predicted model, not a curated record. The transcript has 9 exons.
UUUUUACCCUAAAAUAAAAUAUCAUUGGAACAACGUCCAAUUCUAUUAUAGAGUUACUUUGUUUUAGAAGAAAAAAUAGUGUAAACCAUCUAAUCUAUUAAAACAGAAAUAGAAAAAGAAAAUAACUUUUAGUUUUUCACAAAAAUUACAUACAUAUGCCAGCCACUAGAAUUAAAUUAAACCACAGCGUUUUAACUAAACCUGUUUAAACCUGCCAUGUUGCCCAGAUGAUAACGGCGUUCGUCGAGCUCUCUUUAGCUAUAACGCCGGCCUAUGUAAUCUCUCUCUCUCUCUCUCUCUCUCUCUCUCUCGCCGGCAAAGUUGAUUUUUUUUUGUAUGUGAUUUGGGGUUUUGAAGAUAAUCCCUCUGGUGAUCCAAAGCAGCUGGGUCGAAUCUCUCAGCUUACUUCGAAGGAGACUCUUCGUGAGGUAAGAGUAUGUGUUGUAUACGUGGAGUUAGACCAUCUCCAUCGGCCACUUCUUAAGAAGGGUUCUAAAGAAAAGUGAAAAAAAAUAAAUGAAAAGGGCUUAAAAACAAAAGAACCGAUGCUUAACUUGGGCCUUUAAGGAUUGGUAAGGACCCUUGCAUGUCACCUUUUUAGUGGACCUCCUCUUUAUGUCUCUCUCUCCUUCUCGUUAGGGUCUUGAUCUGAAAUCACAUAGUUUCUCUAACUCCACUGAAGUCGAUCACUUCAUCUUCUCUCUCGAUCGAGUCUGAUCUGGAGAGAUUGUUUUGAUAAGAUUGAAGAUUGAAUUGAAAGUUUUGAAAUCGAUCAACUCUGUUUCUGAGUCUUAUGUGGUAUCGCAGCAACUGUUUUCUCCAUCAUCAUGUACGCUUCUCCACUCUCAAUCAUGAGAUUGGUGACGAAGACAAAGAGUGUAGAGUAUAUGUCAUUCUUUUUAUCACUCUUUGUGUUUCUCUGUGGAACUUCUUGGUUCAUCUAUGGUCUUAUCGGUCGUGACCCUUUUGUUGCAAUACCAAAUGGGUUUGAAUGUGCGUUAGGAGAAGAAAUCAACAGAUGCUGAAAAGGAUGAGAAGAAGACGGUGGAGAUGAAAGAUGAGGAGAAGAAACAAAAUGUGGUUUAUGGAAAGCAACAAGAGCAGCAAGUUUAGAUCCUUUUGAAUGAUUUGUUCUGUGGUUGUUCUAACGUGGACACACGCUUGCUGAAAUUUCUGCAGAGAAAGCUGGUAUCUUCAAGAGUGGAGUUCAUGCUUUUACAGUUAACCUGAUGAAGCAAUGAGUGUACUUGAUGAGAAAGCUUCAGAAUUGGAGGUAAAUGACUAUAUACAAAACAACCUAAUCACUAGACAGAUGUUGAGUUGAAUAGCUUUAUGAUUUGUAGUUGUAUCUUUUGAUUUGUAGCUUUAUGUCAUUUUUAUUUAAAAUUUUAUGUUAUCAAAUCUAUAUCAUUCAACUUAAAAAAAAAAAAAAAAUAUUUAAGAACCUCCCAUUGGAAGAAGAAAAAAUUAUUUUCACUAACUAAGGUUCUUAACUUCUCAUAUCACCUUUAAAACUACUAAUUUAAUCAUUAGAACCUAUCAGUAGUUCUAAUGGAUGGAGUUGCUCUUACACUCUUUCGUUGCACGAGUGAUCAUAAAGGUUUCUUCUUUACAUGCUACGAGUAAAUACGGCAAAGUUAAGAGCUUGUGGUUGGUCAGACACAUUGGUAAAGGCUUUGCAAUUGCUCUGUAAAUGUGUCGAUUAUACAUUAUGUAUUAAACUAAUGAGUGGCGGCGGAAACAGAGUAUUCUACGCGAGAUCGUAUCAUCCCAUUCAAGCCGGAAGUAUUGACGGAACCAACGUUGCGGCACAUGAUAACGGUGUCCGUCGAGCUCUCCUCUGUUACAGCACCGGUCUAUAUGAUCCCUUUGACGAUUCGAAAGCCGCCGGAGAUCCUUAUUGUACCUCUCAUCUUACUACAGAGGAUACUCUUCGUGAGUGACGGGUGCCUCACGAGUAUAUGCUUUUGUGGAGUAUGAGACUGAGAAGGAGAUGCAUCGUGCUUACAAGGUACUUCGGUGAUGCUAACUUUUUUUUUGUUCUUUAGAGCUGUUUGAAAUGUAUAUUUUCUGUUUCAACAGUGGAGUUUAUUUUCCGGAAAGGAAUGUUCUUUUGUGGUGGUUUUUUACAGGAUGCUCAUCAUUCAUUUAUUGAUGGUCGAGAGAUUAUUGUUGAUUAUAAUAGGCAGCAAUUGAUACAUGGAUGGAGGAUACCAAGAAGAUGAGAAGCCGAUACCUCAUGAAGAUUUGAAAAAGCCUGGGAUCCAACUUCCACUAGAGGGAAGAUACAUGUCACGUACUCAGAUUCGUAAGGGUCUCAGUAGAGUUGGCGUUCAUCUGAGCGGUCCGACAAAGAUUCCUCUUGUGAAUCGACUCGAGUAAUUUCAGGAUUAUAAUCCGAAGAUGAUUGGUGUUCCAAUAAUGGCGUCGGUGGGGAGCGAAGGAGGAUUCCGGUGAGGCUUGAUAUUUCCGGCGACGUUUGACCCUUUCAUCCGACGAAGAACCGGUGGUAUUGUGUCAGAAACCACAAACUCGUAAGCACUGAAGUUGGACGCGUGUCGUUACGCAAGAAAGCGGUGGGACGCGUGGUGUGGUUUAAUCGAUCAACAUAAUUGGGUCGGUUAUUGGGCUUAGUUUAAAUUGUAAACGGGUUGGGUUGGGUAAUUUAAUAUCUAAGCUCACCUUGUUAUGGCCCGCGGGGCUUUUCCAUUAAUGAAAAGAGUUAACAAAAAACAAAGAAAGAAGAAGAAUGUCGAGGCUGAUCGCUGUUUUUGUCAUAUUCAGUUUCUUGUCCGCUACACAAUUUUCUAAUGUAAAGAUUUUCUUUUU